Molecule: ribosomal RNA, 253 nt
Filed under: uncultured bacterium
Lineage: Bacteria
Description: partial 16S ribosomal RNA
Rfam family: Bacterial small subunit ribosomal RNA
Source: RNAcentral
UACGGAGGGGGCUAGCGUUGUUCGGAAUUACUGGGCGUAAAGCGCACGUAGGCGGCUUUGUAAGUUAGAGGUGAAAGCCCGGGGCUCAACCCCGGAAUUGCCUUUAAGACUGCAUCGCUAGAAUUGUGGAGAGGUAAGUGGAAUUCCGAGUGUAGAGGUGAAAUUCGUAGAUAUUCGCAAGAACACCAGUGGCGAAGGCGGCUCACUGGCCCGAUACUGACGCUGAGGCACGAAAGCGUGGGGAGCAAACAGG